This 183-nucleotide small RNA is filed under the name Arabidopsis thaliana (thale cress). Its description in RNAcentral is "ATSL209100". The record is from RNAcentral. Lineage: Eukaryota; Viridiplantae; Streptophyta; Magnoliopsida; Brassicales; Brassicaceae.
AGACUUGAUUUGAAGAAGUUGAAUAAAUGAAUGGAAAAGAUGAAAGUACGCCGUCUCAAGGUUGAGAGAGACGGGUAUUAUAAAAGCUUGCACAGUAAGUAGUCUUUAGAGACUCCAUUAGCCUUAAUGCUCAGAACGAGGUCCUCAAAACGCUCGAUGUGGUCCAUUGGCUGUUCGUGAGAU